GGAAGCUGUAUCACCUGUCCACUACCUUCAGGUUACUAUAUAGAGGAAGCUGUAUCACCUGUCCACUACCUUCAGGUUAAUAUAUAGAGGAAGCUGCUGUCCUGUCCACUACCUUCAGGUUACUAUAUAGAGGAAGCUGUAUCACCUGUCCACUACCUUCAGGUUACUAUAUAGAGGAAGCUGUAUCACCUGUCCACUACCUUCAGGUUACUAUAUAGUGGAAGCUGUAUCACCUGUCCACUACCUUCAGGUUACUAUAUAGAGGAAGCUGUAUCACCUGUCCACUACCUUCAGGUUACUAUAUAGAGGAAGCUGCUGUCCUGUCCACUACCUUCAGGUUACUAUAUAGAGGAAGCUGUAUCACCUGUCCACUACCUUCAGGUUACUAUAUAGAGGAAGCUGUAUCACCUGUCCACUACCUUCAGGUUACUAUAUAGAGGAAGCUGUAUCACCUGUCCACUACCUUCAGGUUACUAUAUAGAGGAAGCUGUAUCACCUGUCCACUACCUUCAGGUUACUAUAUAGAGGAAGCUGUAUCACCUGUCCACUACCUUCAGGUUACUAUAUAGAGGAAGCUGUAUCACCUGUCCACUACCUUCAGGUUACUAUAUAGAGGAAGCUGUAUCACCUGUCCACUACCUUCAGGUUACUAUAUAGAGGAAGCUGUAUCACCUGUCCACUACCUUCAGGUUACUAUAUAGAGGAAGCUGUAUCACCUGUCCACUACCUUCAGGUUAAUAUAUAGAGGAAGCUGCUGUCCUGUC
This is a long non-coding RNA of Oncorhynchus keta (chum salmon), 764 nucleotides long. RefSeq lists it as uncharacterized. The transcript has 4 exons. The record is from RefSeq and is a predicted model, not a curated record. Lineage: Eukaryota; Metazoa; Chordata; Actinopteri; Salmoniformes; Salmonidae.